Molecule: ribosomal RNA, 247 nt
Filed under: uncultured bacterium
Lineage: Bacteria
Description: partial 16S ribosomal RNA
Rfam family: Bacterial small subunit ribosomal RNA
Source: RNAcentral
AGAUGGCGACCGGCGCACGGGUGAGUAACACGUAUCCAACCUGCCGAUAACUCGGGGAUAGCCUUUCGAAAGAAAGAUUAAUACCCGAUGGUAUAAUCAGACCGCAUGGUCUUGUUAUUAAAGAAUUUCGGUUAUCGAUGGGGAUGCGUUCCAUUAGGCAGUUGGUGAGGUAACGGCUCACCAAACCUUCGAUGGAUAGGGGUCCUGAGAGGAAGGUCCCCCACAUUGGAACUGAGACACGGUCCAA